This 527-nucleotide ribosomal RNA is filed under the name Malikia sp. Its description in RNAcentral is "bacterial SSU rRNA". It matches the Rfam family "Bacterial small subunit ribosomal RNA", at positions 56 to 585 of the family's 1533-position model. The record is from RNAcentral. Lineage: Bacteria; Pseudomonadati; Pseudomonadota; Betaproteobacteria; Burkholderiales; Comamonadaceae.
UGCAGUCGACGGUAACAGGUCUUCGGAUGCUGACGAGUGGCGAACGGGUGAGUAAUAUAUCGGAACGUGCCCAGUCGUGGGGGAUAACGCAGCGAAAGCUGUGCUAAUACCGCAUACGAUCUAUGGAUGAAAGCGGGGGAUCGCAAGACCUCGCGCGAUUGGAGCGGCCGAUAUCAGAUUAGGUAGUUGGUGGGGUAAAGGCCCACCAAGCCAACGAUCUGUAGCUGGUCUGAGAGGACGACCAGCCACACUGGAACUGAGACACGGUCCAGACUCCUACGGGAGGCAGCAGUGGGGAAUUUUGGACAAUGGGCGCAAGCCUGAUCCAGCAAUGCCGCGUGCAGGAUGAAGGCCUUCGGGUUGUAAACUGCUUUUGUACGGAACGAAAAGGCUCUGGUUAAUACCUGGGGCUCAUGACGGUACCGUAAGAAUAAGCACCGGCUAACUACGUGCCAGCAGCCGCGGUAAUACGUAGGUGCAAGCGUUAAUCGGAAUUACUGGCGUAAAGCGUGCGCAGCGGUUAUAUA